This 858-nucleotide ribosomal RNA is filed under the name Microbacterium sp. Its description in RNAcentral is "bacterial SSU rRNA". It matches the Rfam family "Bacterial small subunit ribosomal RNA", at positions 57 to 924 of the family's 1533-position model. The record is from RNAcentral. Lineage: Bacteria; Bacillati; Actinomycetota; Actinomycetes; Micrococcales; Microbacteriaceae.
GCAGUCGAACGAUGAACCCGAAGCUUGCUUUGGGGGAUUAGUGGCGAACGGGUGAGUAACACGUGAGCAACCUGCCCCUCACUCUGGGAUAAGCGCUGGAAACGGCGUCUAAUACUGGAUACGAGAUGCGACCGCAUGGUCAGUGUCUGGAAAGAUUUUUUGGUGGGGGAUGGGCUCGCGGCCUAUCAGCUUGUUGGUGAGGUAAUGGCUCACCAAGGCGUCGACGGGUAGCCGGCCUGAGAGGGUGACCGGCCACACUGGGACUGAGACACGGCCCAGACUCCUACGGGAGGCAGCAGUGGGGAAUAUUGCACAAUGGGCGGAAGCCUGAUGCAGCAACGCCGCGUGAGGGAUGACGGCCUUCGGGUUGUAAACCUCUUUUAGCAGGGAAGAAGCGUGAGUGACGGUACCUGCAGAAAAAGCACCGGCUAACUACGUGCCAGCAGCCGCGGUAAUACGUAGGGUGCAAGCGUUAUCCGGAAUUAUUGGGCGUAAAGAGCUCGUAGGCGGUUUGUCGCGUCUGCUGUGAAAUCCCGAGGCUCAACCUCGGGCCUGCAGUGGGUACGGGCAGACUAGAGUGCGGUAGGGGAGAUUGGAAUUCCUGGUGUAGCGGUGGAAUGCGCAGAUAUCAGGAGGAACACCGAUGGCGAAGGCAGAUCUCUGGGCCGUAACUGACGCUAAGGAGCGAAAGGGUGGGGAGCAAACAGGCUUAGAUACCCUGGUAGUCCACCCCGUAAACGUUGGGAACUAGUUGUGGGGUCCUUUCCACGGAUUCCGUGACGCACCUAACGCAUUAAGUUCCCCGCCGGGGGAGUACGGCCGCAAGGCUAAAACUCAAAGGAAUUGACGGGGACCCGC